This 45-nucleotide non-coding RNA is filed under the name Schistosoma mansoni. The record is from RNAcentral. Lineage: Eukaryota; Metazoa; Platyhelminthes; Trematoda; Strigeidida; Schistosomatidae.
AUCCAUCUGACGACUCUCGAAUAGGACGAAACGUGUGUCCUGGAU